GUGAAUCAUCGAAUCUUUGAACGCAAAUUGCACUCUCUGGUAUUCCGGAGAGUAUGCCUGUUUGAGAAUCAGUAAAUUCAUCAACCGCUCUAUUGCGGUUGGAUAUGGGCCUUUUCGUGGUGAAGCUUCGGAAUUGGGUCGUCUUUACCUAUCGGUUAAGUGACCUAAAAUUUUUGUAUGAUAUCUGAACGUAUUUAAAUUUAUUUGGUACGUUUUGUAAUAUCAAAUAUUUAUUAGGUGUGGUCAUCCUAAUGAUUCACGUCUAUAAUUUUUCAUCUAAUGACCUCAAAUCAGGUAAGAG
RNAcentral lists this unclassified non-coding RNA (301 nucleotides) under Glomeromycotina sp. RNAcentral describes it as "partial contains 5.8S ribosomal RNA and internal transcribed spacer 2". The stretch from base 1 to 71 matches the Rfam family "5.8S ribosomal RNA", at positions 84 to 154 of the family's 154-position model. Lineage: Eukaryota; Fungi; Glomeromycota. The record is from RNAcentral.